RNAcentral lists this transfer RNA (93 nucleotides) under Limosilactobacillus mucosae. RNAcentral describes it as "Lactobacillus mucosae tRNA-Ser". It matches the Rfam family "tRNA". From Rfam's summary of the family: Transfer RNA (tRNA) molecules are approximately 80 nucleotides in length. Their secondary structure includes four short double-helical elements and three loops (D, anti-codon, and T loops). Further hydrogen bonds mediate the characteristic L-shaped molecular structure. tRNAs have two regions of fundamental functional importance: the anti-codon, which is responsible for specific mRNA codon recognition, and the 3' end, to which the tRNAs corresponding amino acid is attached (by aminoacyl-tRNA synthetases). tRNAs cope with the degeneracy of the genetic code in two manners: having more than one tRNA (with a specific anti-codon) for a particular amino acid; and 'wobble' base-pairing, i.e. permitting non-standard base-pairing at the 3rd anti-codon position. Lineage: Bacteria; Bacillati; Bacillota; Bacilli; Lactobacillales; Lactobacillaceae. The record is from RNAcentral.
UGGAGAGUUGUCCGAGAGGCCGAAGGAGCAGCAUUGGAAAUGCUGUAUACGGGUUAAAGCCUGUAUCAAGGGUUCGAAUCCCUUACUCUCCGU